This 400-nucleotide ribosomal RNA is filed under the name uncultured bacterium. RNAcentral describes it as "bacterial SSU rRNA". It matches the Rfam family "Bacterial small subunit ribosomal RNA", at positions 355 to 752 of the family's 1533-position model. The record is from RNAcentral.
UGAGGAAUAUUGGUCAAUGGGCGGGAGCCUGAACCAGCCAUCCCGCGUGCAGGAAGAAUGCCCUAUGGGUUGUAAACUGCUUUUGUGCAUGAAGAACAUCCCGGACGUGUCCGGGACUGACGGUAAUGCGUGAAUAAGCACCGGCUAACUCCGUGCCAGCAGCCGCGGUAAUACGGAGGGUGCAAGCGUUAUCCGGAUUUAUUGGGUUUAAAGGGUGCGUAGGCGGCUGAAUAAGUCAGUGGUGAAAUGCUGCAGCUUAACUGUAGAACUGCCAUUGAAACUGUUUGGCUUGAGUGAUCUUGAGGUAGGCGGAAUGUGUAGUGUAGCGGUGAAAUGCUUAGAUAUUACACAGAACACCGAUUGCGAAGGCAGCUUACUAAGGGUUUACUGACGCUGAUGC